RNAcentral lists this ribosomal RNA (316 nucleotides) under uncultured soil bacterium. RNAcentral's name for it is "bacterial SSU rRNA". It matches the Rfam family "Bacterial small subunit ribosomal RNA", at positions 26 to 375 of the family's 1533-position model. The record is from RNAcentral.
AGAGCGAACGCUGGCGGCAGGCCUAAUACAUGCAAGUCGAGCGGCCCUUCGGGGCAGCGGCGGACGGGUGAGUAACGCGUGGGAAUGUGCCCUUUGGUACGGAACAACUGAGGGAAACUUCAGCUAAUACCGUAUGUGCCCUUCGGGGGAAAGAUUUAUUGCCAUUGGAGCAGCCCGCGUUGGAUUAGCUAGUUGGUGGGUAAAGCCCACCAAGGCGACGAUCCAUAGCUGGUCUGAGAGGAUGAUCAGCCACACUGGGACUGAGACACGGCCCAGACUCCUACGGGAGCAGCAGUAGGGAAUAUUGGACAAUGGG